AACGAACGCUGGCGGCGUGCCUAACACAUGCAAGUCGAGCGAGAAAGCCCGCAAGGGUGAGUAAAGCGGCGCACGGGUGCGUAACACGUGGGUAAUCUGCCCUAGAGUCCGGAAUAACUCGCCGAAAGGCGUGCUAAUGCCGGAUGAGACCACGGGAGCCUCGGCUCUCGCGGGAAAAGGUGGCCUCUGUAUACAAGCUAUCGCUCUGGGAUGAGCCCGCGGCCCAUCAGCUCGUUGGCGGGGUAACGGCCCACCAAGGCUACGACGGGUAGCUGGUCUGAGAGGACGAUCAGCCACACUGGAACUGAGGCACGGUCCAGACUCCUACGGGAGGCAGCAGUGGGGAAUCUUGCGCAAUGGGCGAAAGCCUGACGCAGCAACGCCGCGUGUGUGAUGAAGGUCUUCGGAUCGUAAAGCACUGUCGCGAGGGACGAAUAAGGGGCGGGUUAACAUCCCGUUCCGAUGACGGUACCUCGAGAGGAAGCACCGGCUAACUCUGUGCCAGCAGCCGCGGUAAUACAGAGGGUG
Molecule: ribosomal RNA, 528 nt
Filed under: uncultured Pseudomonadota bacterium
Lineage: Bacteria; Pseudomonadati; Pseudomonadota
Description: bacterial SSU rRNA
Rfam family: Bacterial small subunit ribosomal RNA
Source: RNAcentral